This is a long non-coding RNA of Ictalurus punctatus (channel catfish), 2020 nucleotides long. Lineage: Eukaryota; Metazoa; Chordata; Actinopteri; Siluriformes; Ictaluridae. The record is from Ensembl.
AAAGUAUACUAACACGGCCCUCUGCACCCUCUUUCCUUUUUUCUCGCUCCGUUUCCCUCUUGCUCUGCUUGGCUAUGGGCUAGAGUAAUUGUCUCUGUGGUGGUAGUCUAUUUCCAUCCACUCAUUCAGGUGCAUCAUUCAGGCAUAAAGAGUCGGUCUGAGCAUGUGUGACAUCUCAUUACACUCAGAGAACCCACCCUGGUAUAGAGUGCAUAACUGCAUAUUUAAGCUUGCGUUAUGUUCACGGGAUAAUAUAUUCAUUAAAAUAUCAUUUAAAAACUAUUAACACAUGCACAGACAGCUUAAAAAAAAAAAAUCGACAACAUCGCCCCGUACAAAUAUUACAAAUGUUCCUACGACACAUUCAUUUCAAUUAAAUCCAUAUUAUCUGUUGUUCUGCAUCUGUGUGAUUAUAAACCAUUAUAGAGCUGGUCCCUUGAAUGAUGUCACUAAUCUAUCCUAGACAGUACUGUUGCUUCGUUAUGAUGAAAAGAUGAAAAACAGAUGGAACCCUGAUCUUCUCAGAGUUUGCUAUGAGGCAGGUUAAUGUUGCCUAGAAAAGUUAGUUUGUCAGAAAUUUUUCAAAGCAAUAAAACCCUGCUGAAAUCUCAGCGUGGCCUGUUAAAUGACUGCUAUGAAGACGUUAUUCUGUUUGAAUUCUGGAAAACUAGCCCAUAUUGAACAGUGGGCAGUAGUAGCUAAGUGGUUAUGAGAUUGGACUAUUGAUCAGACGCUUGUGAGUUCAAAUCCCGGCACUGUCAGGCUUCCACUGUUGGGCCGUUUAAAAAGGCCCUUACUCCACAGCUGCUCAGUUGUAUAAAUUAGAUAAAUGUAAGUAGCUCUAGAUAAGGGCGUCUGCCAAAUGCCAUAAAUGUCAAAUGAAGCAAAUCUCAUUAAACUCAACACCUAAAGACAUGUUCAGUUUCCGCUUUUUCCUGGUCAGGGUUACGGUGGAUCCGGUGCCUAUCAAGGGAACACUGGACAUGAGACAGGACACCAGUCCACGACCGGACAUCACACACGCAUUCACACCUGGAGCACAUUAGAGUAGGCAAUUCACCUACCAGUAUGUUUUUGGGAGGUGGGAUGAAACUGGAGAUCCCAGAGGAAACCCAGACAGACACAAGAAGAACGUGUGAAACUCUACACAAAGUUCAGGACUAGGACUUACUCUUAUGCCUUGGAUCAUUGUCUUGCUGCAUAAUCCAGUUUACAGACUGAAGACCAGACAUUCUUCUUUAGGAUUUUCUGCUAGAGAGCAGAAUUCAUGUUUCCAUCAAUGAUUGCAAGUUGCCCAGGCCCUGAAGCAGCAAAGCAUCCCCACACCAUCACACUCCACCACCAUGCUUGACCUGAUGUUCUUUUUGAGGAGUUUGGUGUUUAUGGCAGAUGUAACGGGACCCCAGUCUUCCAAACGGUUCCACUUUCAGCUCAUCAGUACACAGAACGUUCUCCCAGAAGGUUUGAGGAUCAUCAAGGUGUGUUUCGGCAAAAUUCAGACGAGUCUUAAUGUUCUUCUGGGUCAGCAGUGGUUUUCACCUCACCACUCUUCCAUGGAGCCGUUUUCCCCCAGUGUCUUUCUGAUAGUGGAGUCAUGAACACUGACCUUUAUCGAUGCAAGAGAGGCCUGUAGGUCCUGUGAUGUUGUCCUUGGCUCUGUUGUGACGUCCUGGAUGAGUCGUCGCUGUGCUCUUGGAGGAAUUUUGGAAGGUCGGCCACUUCUGGGAAGCUCACUACUGUGCAGAGUUUUUCCAUUUGGAGAUAACGGCUUCUGUGGUUCUUUGGAGUCUCGGAGACUUUGAAAUAGCUUUGUAACCCUUCCCAGACUGAUGUACUUCAAUCACCUUCUUCCUCAUCAUUUCUGGAAUUUCUUUCAACUUUGGCGUAGUGUCUUACUGGGUAAGACCUUUUAACCAACUUCACACUGUUGAAAAAAGUAUUGUGUUGUGAUUGGACAGGGUUUGCAGUAAUCAGGUCUGGUUGUGUCUAGUAUUGUGUGUUUCCUCAGGUUGCCUUUGUU